AUACGGAGGGUGCAAGCGUUAAUCGGAAUUACUGGGCGUAAAGCGCGCGUAGGCGGUUUGUUAAGUCGGAUGUGAAAGCCCUGGGCUCAACCUGGGAGGGUCAUUCAAAACUGGCAGACUAGAGUGUGGUAGAGGGUAGUGGAAUUCCUAGUGUAGCGGUGAAAUGCGUAGAGAUUAGGAGGAACACCAGUGGCGAAGGCGACUGCCUGGACCAACACUGACGCUGAGGUGCGAAAGCGUGGGUAGCGAACAGGAUUAGAAACCCGAGUAGUCC
Molecule: ribosomal RNA, 274 nt
Filed under: uncultured bacterium
Lineage: Bacteria
Description: partial 16S ribosomal RNA
Rfam family: Bacterial small subunit ribosomal RNA
Source: RNAcentral